RNAcentral lists this ribosomal RNA (243 nucleotides) under Escherichia coli. RNAcentral's name for it is "partial 23S ribosomal RNA". It matches the Rfam family "Bacterial large subunit ribosomal RNA", at positions 2688 to 2925 of the family's 2925-position model. The record is from RNAcentral. Lineage: Bacteria; Pseudomonadati; Pseudomonadota; Gammaproteobacteria; Enterobacterales; Enterobacteriaceae.
AGGACCAGAGUGGACGAACCUCUGGUGUACCGGUUGUGACGCCAGUCGCAUCGCCGGGUAGCUAUGUUCGGAAGGGAUAACCGCUGAAAGCAUCUAAGCGGGAAGCCUACCUCAAGAUAAGAUUUCCCUAGGACUUUAUGUCCUCUAAAGAGCCGUUCGAGACUAGGACGUUGAUAGGUUGGAUGUGGAAGCAUAGUGAUAUGUGAAGCUGACCAAUACUAAUUGCUCGUGAGGCUUGACUAU